RNAcentral lists this long non-coding RNA (395 nucleotides) under Citrus sinensis (sweet orange). RNAcentral describes it as "long non-coding RNA (CSIN_LNC001790)". Lineage: Eukaryota; Viridiplantae; Streptophyta; Magnoliopsida; Sapindales; Rutaceae. The record is from RNAcentral.
UGUGGGCCUGCUGUUUUUGCGACUGUUGGAGCAACUAGGGCCACAGCUCUUGUAUUCUAUAUUUGGAACCUUUUGCUUAAUGGCAGUGGCUUUUGUAAAAAGAAAUGUUGUGGAAACCAAAGGAAAAUCACUCCAAGAAAUUGAGAUAGCUCUUCUUCCGCAGGAAUAAUGGAAGUUAUUUUCCUGUUUAAAGAAACUUCAGUAUAACAGAUGUAAGCAAGUGUUGCUUAUCUGAUAAAAGGUAUUCGUGCGGCUGAAGCAAGAUGAGAUACCAGAAUGUUAGAAUUGUCGAUUGGAAAACCCUUGCAUAUCUACAAAUAUGAUCGGGUAAAUGCUGCAUAUGAGUUCUAGUGGAGUGUGAUCUAGCCUUUAUUUCACUGGUCAAAUUUCAGCAC